Molecule: long non-coding RNA, 497 nt
Filed under: Homo sapiens (human)
Lineage: Eukaryota; Metazoa; Chordata; Mammalia; Primates; Hominidae
Description: non-protein coding lnc-KIN-1:1
Source: RNAcentral
GGGUCUCGCUCUGCUGCCCAGGCUGUAGUGCAGUGGUGUGAUCUCAGCUCACUCCUAAAAAUACAAAAAUUAGCCGGGCGUGGUGGUGGGUGCCUAUAAUCCCAGCUGCUCCGGAGGCUGAGGCAGGAAAAUUGCUUAGACCUGGGAGGUGGAGGUUGUAGUGAGCCCUGUCUCUCCUAAAAAUACAAAAAUUAGCCAGGUGUGGUGGUGGGUGCCUAUAAUCCCAGCUGCUUGGGAGGCUGAGGCAGGAAAAUUGCUUAGACCUGGGAGGUGGAUGUUGCAGUGAGCGAGAUCACGCCACUGCACUUCACUCUAUCCAGGGUGAUAGAGUGAAAUUUCAUUUCAAAAGAAAAGAAAUAAAUAAGUAAGCAAGGUGAGAUGUUGCACAAUCAGCCUAAGGGAUUGGGGAGUUGUUGUGGAUAGUCAGCUUGCGAUAUCAAAUAAUUGAAGAAAAAGAUGAGCAUGGCCUCGUGCAAAGCUUUGAGACAGAGCCUGCA